Molecule: long non-coding RNA, 1949 nt
Organism: Oncorhynchus tshawytscha (Chinook salmon)
Lineage: Eukaryota; Metazoa; Chordata; Actinopteri; Salmoniformes; Salmonidae
Source: Ensembl
CCUCUCCCUCAGUAGUUUGCCUGUGUAGACGGUUGAUAGAUUGGUACAUGAUGCCUCUCCCUCAGUAGUUUGCCUGUGUAGACGGUUGAUAGAUUGGUACAUGAUGCCUCUCCCUCAGUAGUUUGCCUGUGUAGAUGGUUGAUAGAUUGGCACAUGAUGCCUCUCCCUCAGUAGUUUGCCUGUGUAGAUGGUUGAUAGAAAGUUGUACUAAAUUAAUGUCUUCUUCCGUAGCUUGCUUAGCAUGCUCUCCCAUCAAGAAAAUGGAGUGUGGUGUGUGAAGAUGUGAUGUGUGAAGAUUUGAGGACGGGAAUUGGUGUGAAGAUUUGAGGACGGGAAUUGGUGUGAAGAUUUGAGGACGGGAAUUGGAUAUGUGUACCAAUAUGAAACUCCGGCUGGAUCUGAAAUUGAGGUGUACUCAAACAGUGUUUGUGGAGAUCUUAUGACUCCAAUAGCCUACUGUGGCAUGAACAAGCCUUUUGAGGCACAUCUCUCUGAUAAGGUGAUAAAUGUGAACAACAGUGCUGUCAUCCUCUCUGAAUGCCUGAAUCUGACAUUCACAUUCUUUCAUGUUCUCCAGGGCAAGGUGGAGGAGUGCCAUUUGUAUUACAUUGUUGCAGGGCAAGGUGGAGGAGUGCCAUUUGUAUUACAUUGUUGCAGGAAAUGGAGACAAAGCCAAAGCCACUGGCCACACAAAGGAAAUCACUGCUGGUGUUCUUGGUUCUGCUGCUGGGCAUUGCUGGUUUCUUAGUGUACAGAUAUGGCAACAUUCCUUGGAGAGACAAACAUCCAUUUGCUCUUACACAGCUUAGAUCGGCUGGGUCGGGACUACCUUAACACCAACAGGGAAAAACAAAGGGACCAGGGGGAUGGGGUGGAAGAGGAGAGGGAGCCACCACACAGUCAGGAGACACAUGUUGAGUCCUCUCUGCUGAAUGGGCAUCUUGUGAACAGGGUUAACGAUGAGACUAAGGAAGCGACUCCUGGUGCACAGAGUCCAGGACCUCCUCAGACGAAUGGAGGACCUCCCAUGUCUGACAGGUUGGAGAACAACCCUGUUGGUCAGUGGAUGAAGAAAACUGCUCUGGUGAACAAGCAGGACCAGGACUGGUCAGCAACGGCAUGAAGCCAGUUGAAAAUAUAUAGCAUAUAAGAUGAAACUAAGUGUAAAUAUAAUAAAAAAUAACAUGAUAUACACUGUAAUAUAGAACAGUAUAAUAUAAUAUGACAUGAUAUAAUAUCGUAACACUUACUUGUAUAGUGUUAUAUAUUCUAAUGAAUGCAUUCUUAACAACAUGAAUGAUGCAUUAAUGCAUACAUAGGACAUAACUGUAUAGUAAAAUUAUAAUAUAAUACUGUGCUGGUAAGCUGCUAGCUGUGGGGUUGCCCCCAGCUGUGGUUUCUAUUAUUCAGAGUAUCUAAGCUCAACUUCAAAUCCAUAGUUUUUAGCUUAGUUCUUACCGUAAACUAGCACUUCUUAGAGACAAAGUUAUGGGACAUGCUGUAUAACUACUUACCAUUCUGAAGUGUAACAGUCAAGUUUAUAUGUAACAAUUGUUCAUCCCUUUUUUAAAUGUUUAUUUAUAUAUUUGUUUGCUUGAUUAGAUUGAAUUAGUAUGACUAAUGCAUUAUUUUACCCUCCCGUAUAGAGGGACAUUAUUUUACCCUCCUGUAUAGAGGGACAUUAUUUUACCCUCCUGUAUAGAGGGACAUUAUUUUACCCUCCUGUAUAGAGGGACAUUAUUUUACCCUCCCAUAUAGAGGGACAUUAUUUUACCCUCCCGUAUAGAGGGACAUUAUUUUACCCUCCCGUAUAGAGGGACAUUAUUUUACCCUCCCGUAUAGAGGGACAUUAUUUUACCCUCCCGUAUAGAGGGACAUUAUUUUACCCUCCCGUAUAGAGGGACAUUAUUUUACCCUCCUGUAUAGAGGGACAUUAUGUUACCCUCCUG